AUGGACUAUCCCCCUACUUCUACAUCCUUCUUCCCUUUCUUACAUGCCUUUGACAGAGCUGGGCUAAGGAAGUUUGGCAAAUAAGACAAGAAUGGAUGGACCCGCCAUUGACCCACAACAUCAAUACUACCUGUCUGAAUUAGUGGCAGAUACAGACCAGUCAGCACACGAAUUGUGAGGAGAGGUUUCCAUGCAUUAAGUGACACAAGCAAACAAAGAACUGUUUCUACUCUAACCUAUGACUGCAUUGACAUUUGGUGGCAACAUGUUCAGAAUCUUCUGCUACAUUUCAAUGGUUGACUUUUUUCCCUGCACAGAAAAAAAAUCUGCAACACAGACAACCCAAAUCUGAUCCCUGUACAAAUCUAUUUCUAAGGAGAUUGGCCUUACGAAUCCACUGUCAACACCAAUGUUACCCUUCACACGAGUGGUCGAACAAGAGCACACCAGGAGCAAGGAAAUAAAAAGCAAAUGUUUGGAAAUGAUGAAAGUAUGAAAUAAAGUUAAAUGGAAGAAAGAGGGGGACAUGGAAAACUGCACAAGGAGAGAAGGGGAAGGGCAAAGAAAGAGACGGUGAGACAUGGCAAGCAAUCAGAAUUACAAAUAAAUAACAAGUCACUGAAUGACUAGAGAUUGGCACACUAAAGCAUUAUAUUGUUCUCCCAUUAGUUUAGUAUCAAGUGCUACUUUUCAUAAUUUUUUACAGAUAUACUCACAAGUACUUAAGUGUUACAAAGGCCACAGCAUUAUAUGAGUGUAUUUUUCUGCAAAUACUUUGUUAAUUAAAUGCAAACUAUUAAACAUAAAACGCAUAAAAACAUUGUGGGAUUGCAUUCUAGAAAUGCUUAGAUAGCAGUGUACAUCUAGCAGGCACAGACAGGCGUCAAAGCUUUAAAGGUAACAUAUUUUUUUCAAAAUGUUAAUCGACCCCCAGGCACAAUACUAUAAUGAAUUCUGUUUUCCAAAAGAGCAAGUAAAUUUUUUUUGAAAUUUGACAUGAGGCAAGACCUUUUCUGACUUUCCCAAGUGUCCUCAGCUUUGUGCUCUAAUAAGCUUCAACCUCUAUUUACUGCUGCACUGCCAGUUGGAGUGAUGUCAAACCCCCCUUCCCCCCAACAUGCUGUCUAUUACAUAGAUCCCAUACCUGAUUUGUUGUUUCUAUAAUGGUGUCUAACAAGCAGAUUGUUAUUUAGUAAAUGAAAAUACUAUCAACAGACAUGUUCUAACAGUUUAUGUAAUUGCAGAUGCAUUAUUUAUAUCUAUUCUCAUACAGUGUUAUGUUAUCACUGCACACAUUGGACUGUUGUUAAAUUGCAGAGAAAGAACAUGAAAUUCAAUUUAGCAAAUUAAGUCAGCCUAGACCAUAGUGAAGGCGUCUGAGCGAAUGGAGAGCCAGGUAAUUACUGUAGUAGAUACCACGUAUAGAUCAUUAGUCGUCAUGGAUUAAUAGGAUGAUGUCUGGUGACCUCUGGUUUAAAAUGAGUAAUCAUGGACUCUUACAUAGACAAAUGGUUUAUUGCUGGAACAGUGACAU
This is a long non-coding RNA of Xenopus laevis (African clawed frog), 1534 nucleotides long. RefSeq lists it as uncharacterized. The record is from RefSeq and is a predicted model, not a curated record. NCBI's taxonomy places the organism in Eukaryota, Metazoa, Chordata, Amphibia, Anura, Pipidae. The transcript has 4 exons.